CAGAGUUCGUGCCCUCACGGGUAGAUCUCCCACCCUGUGUUAUUAUACCUUUGUUGCUUUGGCGGGCCGCCCUCGGCUACCGGCCCCGGCUGGUACGCGCCCGCCGGAGGACCCAAACUCUUGUUAUAGCGGCAUGUCUUCUGAGUCUCGCGGGGAAAACGAAUGAAUCA
Molecule: unclassified non-coding RNA, 170 nt
Filed under: uncultured Dermateaceae
Lineage: Eukaryota; Fungi; Ascomycota; Leotiomycetes; Helotiales; Dermateaceae
Description: sequence contains ITS1
Source: RNAcentral